RNAcentral lists this ribosomal RNA (700 nucleotides) under Enterococcus durans. RNAcentral's name for it is "bacterial SSU rRNA". It matches the Rfam family "Bacterial small subunit ribosomal RNA", at positions 72 to 759 of the family's 1533-position model. The record is from RNAcentral. Lineage: Bacteria; Bacillati; Bacillota; Bacilli; Lactobacillales; Enterococcaceae.
UUGCUCCACCGGAAAAAGAAGAGUGGCGAACGGGUGAGUAACACGUGGGUAACCUGCCCAUCAGAAGGGGAUAACACUUGGAAACAGGUGCUAAUACCGUAUAACAAUCAAAACCGCAUGGUUUUGAUUUGAAAGGCGCUUUCGGGUGUCGCUGAUGGAUGGACCCGCGGUGCAUUAGCUAGUUGGUGAGGUAACGGCUCACCAAGGCCACGAUGCAUAGCCGACCUGAGAGGGUGAUCGGCCACAUUGGGACUGAGACACGGCCCAAACUCCUACGGGAGGCAGCAGUAGGGAAUCUUCGGCAAUGGACGAAAGUCUGACCGAGCAACGCCGCGUGAGUGAAGAAGGUUUUCGGAUCGUAAAACUCUGUUGUUAGAGAAGAACAAGGAUGAGAGUAACUGUUCAUCCCUUGACGGUAUCUAACCAGAAAGCCACGGCUAACUACGUGCCAGCAGCCGCGGUAAUACGUAGGUGGCAAGCGUUGUCCGGAUUUAUUGGGCGUAAAGCGAGCGCAGGCGGUUUCUUAAGUCUGAUGUGAAAGCCCCCGGCUCAACCGGGGAGGGUCAUUGGAAACUGGGAGACUUGAGUGCAGAAGAGGAGAGUGGAAUUCCAUGUGUAGCGGUGAAAUGCGUAGAUAUAUGGAGGAACACCAGUGGCGAAGGCGGCUCUCUGGUCUGUAACUGACGCUGAGGCUCGAAAG